Molecule: long non-coding RNA, 2197 nt
Organism: Mercenaria mercenaria
Lineage: Eukaryota; Metazoa; Mollusca; Bivalvia; Venerida; Veneridae
Exons: 5
Source: RefSeq, a predicted model, not a curated record
AAAAGUGCAAAAAUCAUCGCUGGUGAGCAAUGCCGCCAUAUUCAAAAACGAAAAAAACGUCCGUCUCAGAGACACAUUUUUAUCCGAAAUUACACAAGCCUCGAUUUCGGUAAAAUGACGUUGAAGUUGACGUCACUUAAUUAGAUAUUUGUUUUCAUUAAUUUGUUUUUCAAGCAACAGCCAUUAGAGCUAGUGUUAAAAUCAAUAAUAUCGGAUGAAGAUUUUUAAGUUUAAACGUUUCAACAUUUAGUGAAAUAUCACAAACCUAAUGAGUGAAUUAGCGAAUUGUUUCCCUUUGAAAUCAACACGCCAUUAUCGGUGGAUACAUGUCUGAAACUGGGUCAGAGAAUACAUGCAGUUAUUGCUCUGAAUAUACGCGGAUAUUUAAAAUGCAUGGCGGAUUUAAUAAUUGUUAUGGAUAACCUCCAGCAGUAAGAAAUAUAAAGGCUCACUGCAGUUUUGAGUGCUCAACAAGUAUUGACCCCAUACUAUGCUCAGCAAGUAGGGCCCUUGUAUUUCUGUGAAUCCUCAUGCAGUACAGUACUGCUGUUGGAAGAGGAGCAAACAGUGUGGUAUCUAUGGUCCACCAUCACUUCAAGCAUCAUGGCUAUGGAGAAAAGAAUGUUUCAUUACAUAUGGACAAUUAUAGUGGACAAAAUAAGAAAAGUGUUGUAAUAAGCUAUGGAAUGUGGCUUGUUAUGAUGGGUCUGCAUGAUGGCUUGGAGUACAACCUGAUUGAGGCCCGGCAUACAGAAUUCAGCCCGGAACAUGUUUAGAAUGUCUUCUGCAUGACCUGGUAUAGAUAGUAUUCUUGAAGGAUUAUAACUUCAACACAGAGACGGACAUUAAUACUUUUAGGCAGGAGGUUGGCAUGAUAGGCAAAUUCACCAACCGUAUUACCAUUCCUGAGCUGGAUGCCAGUCGACAGUGGUACCUGUAUAAUGAAAUAGCGCCCCUUUGCAGCAACAGCAAUGUAUGCUCAAAACCAGCAGUGUCAAAGCCAUUAAAAUUAGAAUGAAUGGAAAAAAGUGUUUAACAUUUAAAGUAAUACAGAGAAAGAGCUCUGAAAUUUUGAUUAAUUUGAAAGUGUUUUUGAUUUUUUGAAGAUGUACUAGACCCAAAUUCCAUAUAUUUGAAAAAGAACAAAUGAUACAUACAGUUUAUGUAAACAUUGAAUUAACAACUUUAUGGUGUCAACAGUACUAUGCAUUUGUUAAAUAUUGACUCACUAUAUACAUGUAAGGCUGAACACAGUAUUAAUGUGAAAUUCCUCUAAAACGCUGGAAGAUUUUGCAACAAUAAUUGUAACAUAUAUGGUAGUAAUGUACAUUUUUUUUUCAUUACGACAGUUGGAUUAUAUAGAUCUACGAAUAUUUUCUGCUGUAUUCAAACUGCAUGUAAUCAUUUCUGUCGGCAGUAUCAUGUUUAUUUUCCCUUUUCAUGAACAAUUAAUUUAACCUGUCUUGAAAGCACAAUAUAUAUAUAAUUUGUAAAACAUACAUUGGAUUAUUGUGGAAACAAUUUAGUUUUUGUAUGCCUAAUUAUAUAUUAUUGCCGUUAGUAUCAUCUAACUCUUUUAAUAUGAUCAAGACAUUUAAUAAGGCAGUUUUCUUAAACUAUUACUGUGUGUUAAAUGAGAUUAUGUAGUAUUAUGUUUACUGAAUUAACUGCGUAACCAUGGAAACAUUUUUCUGUUGUUCUAUAUUAUGUCUUGUAAAAAACAUUGUUUGAAGAACACUUUUCAGUGGUGCAUUUUUUUAAAUUUUUACAUGUAAUGGUAAAUGCUGAAAGUGUUCUACAAUAACUUAGCAAAAAGGUCAUUGUUGUCACAUUGAAGCAUAUACUGUAACUCCAUUGUAACCAUAGCAACAGAAAUAUAUUGUAUUAUUUAUGAACAAUGAUCUUCACAAACAAAUUACAUAUGUUAUUUUUCUUAAAGAAUGACCUAAAUUGGUUUUAUUCCAUAAAAAACAGACAUAGCAAAUAUUCUCAUUUUUAUCUCCGUUUCCAUGGCAACCAUAUAUUGUUUUGCCUCAAAUUAUAGGCGUUGCUUAGGGUUAUAUCUUAGCAUAUCUGAAUGUUAAUUAUACGUUCUGAUGUAAUUGUUAUAAGAGAUUUUCGUGUUUCCAUAAAGAAAAUCAAUCGGUUGCCAUGGCAACAGCACAAUUUCAAAUGAAUUAAAAUAUGAGAUUUUGCA